Molecule: transfer RNA, 75 nt
Filed under: Leucothrix sp.
Lineage: Bacteria; Pseudomonadati; Pseudomonadota; Gammaproteobacteria; Thiotrichales; Thiotrichaceae
Description: tRNA-Glu
Rfam family: tRNA
About the family: Transfer RNA (tRNA) molecules are approximately 80 nucleotides in length.
Source: RNAcentral
GUCCCCAUCGUCUAGCGGUUAGGACACCGCCCUUUCACGGCGGUAACCGGGGUUCGAGUCCCCGUGGGGACGCCA